UUACAAUGGCGGCCACAGCGGGAAGCCAGGCGGCGACGCCGAGCGGAACCCGAAAAGCCGUCUCAGUUCGGAUUGGAGUCUGCAACCCGACUCCAUGAAGCUGGAUUCGCUAGUAAUCGCGCAUCAGCCACGGCGCGGUGAAUACGUUCCCGGGCCUUGUACACACCGCCCGUCAAGCCAUGGGAGCCGGGAGUGCCUGAAGUACGUGACCGCAAGGAGCGUCCUAGGGUAAGACCGGUGACUGGGGCUAAGUCGUAACAAGGUACC
RNAcentral lists this ribosomal RNA (267 nucleotides) under uncultured bacterium. RNAcentral's name for it is "partial 16S ribosomal RNA". It matches the Rfam family "Bacterial small subunit ribosomal RNA", at positions 1225 to 1500 of the family's 1533-position model. The record is from RNAcentral.